RNAcentral lists this transfer RNA (72 nucleotides) under Bos taurus (domestic cattle). It matches the Rfam family "tRNA". From Rfam's summary of the family: Transfer RNA (tRNA) molecules are approximately 80 nucleotides in length. RNAcentral also lists the same sequence under 1 other name. The record is from Rfam by way of RNAcentral. Lineage: Eukaryota; Metazoa; Chordata; Mammalia; Artiodactyla; Bovidae.
UCCAUGGUAGCUCAGCUGCUAAAGAAUCCACCUGCAAGGUGGGAGACCUGGGUUCAAUCCCUAGCUUGGGAA